RNAcentral lists this small RNA (453 nucleotides) under Pan troglodytes (chimpanzee). RNAcentral's name for it is "processed transcript". Lineage: Eukaryota; Metazoa; Chordata; Mammalia; Primates; Hominidae. The record is from RNAcentral.
UUCUGAAUAGCACAGACAUCAAUGGCUCCCCUUUCCCUGUGAUGGCGUUUCAGUUUUUGAGACGGAGUCUCACUUUGUCACCCAGGUGGGAGUAGAGUGGCGUGAUCUGGGCUCACUGCAACCUCCGCCUCCUGGGUUCAAGCGAUUCUCCUGCCUUAGCCUCCCCAGUAGCUGGGACUACAGGCAUGUGCCACCAUGCCCUGCUAAUUUUUGUAUUUUUUGUAGAGACAGGGUCUCGCCACGUUGCCCAGGCUGGUUGGGAACUCCUGGGCUCAAGCGAUCCACUUGCUUUGACCUCCCAAAGUGCUGGGAGUACAGAUGUGAGCCACCGCACCCAGCAUGUAUUUUAAAUGUUUUAUAAUGAACACAUAUUACUUUUAAAAUCAGGAUAAGACAAAACUAAAAAACCUUGUUUAUGUAUAAAAGGCAUAGCUGAGAACGUGAACGUGAUGC